CGGGAGCGGCUGGGCCCCCGGCGGCGCGGUCCUCGGUCUGGCCGGGAGUCGCGCCAGUCGGAACGCCCAGGCGAGCGCCGCCAGCCUCCCUCUCAGCGUCCCUCCUUGCGGAGUGCAACCAGCGGGCAUGAGCGAUCCACCAGAGGCUCCGCCACCGGCUCCGGUAGGCCGCGGGUAAAGAAGAAAGGCCGUCCUCGCUCGACCCGGAGCGAGAAGGGGACCCGGCGCAAAGAGACGACCCAGGCCGACGAGGCGGCCAAGGGCAAGCAGGCAACCAGGGCCAAGCAGGCGUCCCGGAGCAAGGACAAG
RNAcentral lists this non-coding RNA (309 nucleotides) under Dipodomys ordii (Ord's kangaroo rat). RNAcentral's name for it is "Bag-1 internal ribosome entry site (IRES)". It matches the Rfam family "Bag-1 internal ribosome entry site (IRES)", at positions 62 to 370 of the family's 370-position model. Rfam says of the family: This family represents the bag-1 internal ribosome entry site (IRES). When expressed the BAG-1 protein is known to enhance the anti-apoptotic properties of Bcl-2. Lineage: Eukaryota; Metazoa; Chordata; Mammalia; Rodentia; Heteromyidae. The record is from Rfam by way of RNAcentral.